UGAGGCAGGAGAAUGGCGUGAACCCGGGAGGUGGAGCUUGCAGUGAGCCGAGAUCACGCCACUGCACUCCAGCCUGGGUGACAGAGCGAGACUGCAUCUCAAAAAAAAAAAAAAAAUUUUAUACACACACACACACACACACACACACACACACACACACACACGUAUUUGAACUACACAGGGAACACAUAUAGUUUCAUAUUAUGAAUUUAAAUAAAGCCAUCAGGCCGGCGUGGUGACUCACGCCUGUAAUCCCAGCACUUUGGGAGGCCGAGGUAGGAGAAUCGCUUGAACCCGGGAGGCACAGGUUGCAGUCAGCCGAGAUCACGCCACUGCACUCUAGUCUGGGCGACAGAGCAAGACUUUUGUCUCAAAAAAAUGAAAAAUAAAAAUAAUAAUGACAAAUUUCGCUAUUGUUAACAGUAAAAUUAACCUAGUGGCUCUUAUCCUUUGACUCCUUCUCUACUUCCCAGCGAGAUUCUCAGUGACCCCUCAUCAUCACCUCUCCUAAGU
This 513-nucleotide long non-coding RNA is filed under the name Homo sapiens (human). RNAcentral describes it as "novel transcript, antisense to MAP1LC3B". The record is from RNAcentral. Lineage: Eukaryota; Metazoa; Chordata; Mammalia; Primates; Hominidae.